UACGAAGGGAGCUAGCGUUGUUCGGAAUUACUGGGCGUAAAGCGCACGUAGGCGGUUAUUCAAGUCAGAGGUGAAAGCCCGGGGCUCAACCCCGGAAUUGCCUUUGAAACUAGGUAGCUAGAAUCUUGGAGAGGUCAGUGGAAUUCCGAGUGUAGAGGUGAAAUUCGUAGAUAUUCGGAAGAACACCAGUGGCGAAGGCGACUGACUGGACAAGUAUUGACGCUGAGGUGCGAAAGCGUGGGGAGCAAACAGG
RNAcentral lists this ribosomal RNA (253 nucleotides) under uncultured bacterium. RNAcentral's name for it is "partial 16S ribosomal RNA". It matches the Rfam family "Bacterial small subunit ribosomal RNA", at positions 524 to 776 of the family's 1533-position model. The record is from RNAcentral.